ACUUUCAACAACGGAUCUCUUGGUUCUGGCAUCGAUGAAGAACGCAGCGAAAUGCGAUAAGUAAUGUGAAUUGCAGAAUUCAGUGAAUCAUCGAAUCUUUGAACGCACAUUGCGCCCGCCGGUAUUCCGGCGGGCAUGCCUGUUCGAGCGUCAUUUCAACCCUCAAGCCUCGGCUUGGUGUUGGGGCGCCCGGGCCCUCCGCGGCCCGGGGCCCCCAAGUUCAUCGGCGGGCUCGUCGGUACACUGAGCGCAGUAAAACGCGGUAAAACGCGAACCUCGUUCGGAUCGUCCCGGCGUGCUCCAGCCGCUAAACCCCCAAUUCUUUAAAGGUUGACCUCGGAUCAGGUAGGAAUACCCGCUGAACUUAAGCAUAUCAAUAAGCGGAGGAAAAGAAACCAACAGGGAUUGCCCCAGUAACGGCGAGUGAAGCGGCAACAGCUCAAAUUUGAAAUCUGGCCCCCCGGCCCGAGUUGUAAUUUGCAGAGGAUGCUUUUGGUGAGGCACCUACCGAGUCCCCUGGAAUGGGGCGCCAUAGAGGGUGAGAGCCCCGUAUGGUAGGACGCCGAACCUCUGUAAAGCUCCUUCGACGAGUCGAGUAGUUUGGGAAUGCUGCUCUAAAUGGGAGGUAAAUUUCUUCUAAAGCUAAAUACCGGCCAGAGACCGAUAGCGCACAAGUAGAGUGAUCGAAAGAUGAAAAGCACUUUGAAAAGAGGGUUAAAAAGUACGUGAAAUUGUUGAAAGGGAAGCGCUUGUGACCAGACUUGCGCCGGGCGGAUCAUCCAGCGUUCUCGCUGGUGCACUCCGCCCGGUUCAGGCCAGCAUCGGUUUUCGCCGGGGGACAAAGGCUUCGGGAACGUGGCUCCUUUCGGGGAGUGUUAUAGCCCGUUGCGUAAUACCCCGGCGGGGACCGACGACCGCGCUUCGGCAAGGAUGCUGGCGUAAUGGUCAUCAGCGACCCGUCUUGAAACACGGACCGAGGAGUCAAGCAUUAGUGCGAGUGUUUGGGUGUAAAACCCGCACGCGUAAUGAAAGUGAACGUAGGUGAGAGCUUCGGCGCAUCAUCGACCGAUCCUGAUGUUUUCGGAAGGAUUUGAGUAGGAGCAUUAACGCUUGGACCCGAAAGAUGGUGAACUAUACUUGAAUAGGGUGAAGCCAGAGGAAACUCUGGUGGAGGCUCGCAGCGGUUCUGACGUGCAAAUCGAUCGUCAAAUUUGAGUAUAGGGGCGAAAGACUAAUCGAACCAUCUAGUAGCUGGUUUCAGCCGAAGUUUCCCUCAGGAUAGCAGUGUCGUCUUCAGUUUUAUGAGGUAAAGCGAAUGAUUAGGGACUCGGGGGCGAUUUUUAGCCUUCAUCCAUUCUCAAACUUUAAAUAUGUAAGAAGCCCUUGUUACUUAGUUGAACGUGGGCCUUCGAAUGUACCGACACUAGUGGGCCAUUUUUGGUAAGCAGAACUGGCGAUGCGGGAUGAACCGAACGCGGGGUUAAGGUGCCGGAGUGGACGCUCAUCAGACACCACAAAAGGCGUUAGUACAUCUUGACAGCAGGACGGUGGCCAUGGAAGUCGGAAUCCGCUAAGGACUGUGUAACAACUCACCUGCCGAAUGUACUAGCCCUGAAAAUGGAUGGCGCUCAAGCGUCCCACCCAUACCCCGCCCCCAGGGUAGAAACGAUGCCCUGGGGAGUAGGCUGACGCGGGGGUAGCGACGAAGGCUAGGGCGUGAGCCCGGCUAGAGCUGCCCCUGGUGCAAAUCUCGGUGAGAGUAGCAAAUACUUCAAUGAGAACUUGAAGGACCGAAGUGGGGAAAGGUUCCAUGUGAACAGCAGUUGGACGUGGGUUAGCCGAUCCUGAGCCAUAGGGAAGUUCCGUUUCAAAGGGGCGCUAGCGCCCCGUAUGGCGAAAGGGAAGCAGGUUAAUAUUCCUGCGCCUGGAUGUGGGUUUUUCGCGGCAACGCAACUGAACGCGGAGACGGCGGCGGGGGCCC
Molecule: ribosomal RNA, 1981 nt
Filed under: Pyricularia oryzae
Lineage: Eukaryota; Fungi; Ascomycota; Sordariomycetes; Magnaporthales; Pyriculariaceae
Description: eukaryotic LSU rRNA
Rfam family: Eukaryotic large subunit ribosomal RNA (bases 332-1981)
Source: RNAcentral